Molecule: ribosomal RNA, 253 nt
Filed under: uncultured bacterium
Lineage: Bacteria
Description: partial 16S ribosomal RNA
Rfam family: Bacterial small subunit ribosomal RNA
Source: RNAcentral
GACGGGGGAUGCAAGCGUUAUCCGGAAUCACUGGGCGUAAAGCGUCUGUAGGUGGUGAUGCAAGUCACUGGUGCAAAACUCUGGCUCAACCGGAGGAAAGCCAGUGAAACUGCAUGACUAGAGUGUGGGAGAGGUAGAAGGAAUUCCCUGAGUAGCGGUGAAAUGCGUGGAUACAGGGAAGAACGCCGGAGGCGAAAGCGUUCUACUGGAACACAACUGACACUGAGAGAAGAAAGCUAGGGGAGCGAAUGGG